UACGAGGGGUGCAAGCGUUGUUCGGAAUCACUGGGCGUAAAGGGAGCGCAGGCGGAAGCUCAAGCGGAUUGUACAAUACCGGGGCCCAACCCCGGACCUGCAGUCCGAACUGGGUUUCUUGGAUAGUUCAGGGGCAAGCGGAAUUCCUGGUGUAGCGGUGGAAUGCGUAGAGAUCAGGAAGAACACCGAUGGCGAAGGCAGCUUGCUGGGGACUAAUCGACGCUCAUGCUCGAAAGUGCGGGUAGCAAACAGG
This 253-nucleotide ribosomal RNA is filed under the name uncultured bacterium. RNAcentral describes it as "partial 16S ribosomal RNA". It matches the Rfam family "Bacterial small subunit ribosomal RNA", at positions 524 to 776 of the family's 1533-position model. The record is from RNAcentral.